AUACCUUUCUCAGCCUUUUUUGGCUAAGAUCAAGUGAAGUAUCUGUUCUUAUCAGUUUAAUAUCUGAUAUGUGGGCCAUUGGUACACACGAUAUUAACUCUAUUUUUUGAGGGGGAAAGCUCAUCAAGGUAGCUUGCAGCCUGGGCCUUUGUGCGUCGCCUAAGCGUUGCACAACUGCUUUGGCUUGGCGCCCACCAA
Small nuclear RNA from Capsicum annuum, 198 nucleotides. RefSeq annotates it as U2 spliceosomal RNA. The record is from RefSeq and is a predicted model, not a curated record. NCBI's taxonomy places the organism in Eukaryota, Viridiplantae, Streptophyta, Magnoliopsida, Solanales, Solanaceae. The transcript has a single exon.